RNAcentral lists this ribosomal RNA (253 nucleotides) under uncultured bacterium. Its description in RNAcentral is "partial 16S ribosomal RNA". It matches the Rfam family "Bacterial small subunit ribosomal RNA", at positions 524 to 776 of the family's 1533-position model. The record is from RNAcentral.
UACGUAGGUGGCGAGCGUUGUCCGGAUUUACUGGGCGUAAAGGGAGCGUAGGCGGACUUUUAAGUGAGAUGUGAAAUACUCGGGCUCAACUUGAGUGCUGCAUUUCAAACUGGAAGUCUAGAGUGCAGGAGAGGAGAAUGGAAUUCCUAGUGUAGCGGUGAAAUGCGUAGAGAUUAGGAAGAACACCAGUGGCGAAGGCGAUUAUCUGGACUGUAACUGACGCUGAGGCUCGAAAGCGUGGGGAGCAAACAGG